Motacilla alba alba is the source of this 2711-nucleotide RNA transcript. It is a transcript of the gene named heterogeneous nuclear ribonucleoprotein A2/B1, with no coding region annotated. The record is from RefSeq and is a predicted model, not a curated record. NCBI's taxonomy places the organism in Eukaryota, Metazoa, Chordata, Aves, Passeriformes, Motacillidae. The transcript is spliced from 13 exons.
GCGGGGAGCGGCGCGGCGGUGGCUGGCGGGGCUGGGCUGGGCUGGGCUGGGCGAGCACUGCGCGCCGGCGGCUGUGACGGGGCAGAGCGCACGACGCCGCCGCCGCCUACGCGCGAGCCGCUACAACCUCCGACCGUCGUCGCCGCCGGCACAGGAGGGGGGCCAAGACGUCUCUCCAACGCGGGGCGAGCGCAGGACCGCGCCAGGCGUCCAAAAGAAGGAAGAUGCCUCGCGGCGACAGGGAAAGCGACUGGAGGGAAAAGGAGCAGUUCCGCAAACUGUUUAUUGGCGGUUUGAGCUUUGAAACCACAGAAGAAAGCUUGAGGAGUUACUAUGAGCAAUGGGGAAAGCUUACAGACUGUGUGGUAAUGAGGGAUCCUGCAAGCAAAAGAUCAAGGGGGUUUGGUUUUGUAACAUUCUCUUCCAUGGCUGAAGUUGAUGCAGCUAUGGCUGCAAGACCUCACACGAUUGAUGGAAGGGUGGUUGAGCCUAAGAGAGCUGUGGCUAGAGAGGAAUCUGGGAAACCUGGUGCUCAUGUUACUGUGAAAAAAUUAUUUGUUGGUGGUAUUAAAGAGGACACUGAAGAGCACCACCUUCGUGACUACUUUGAGGAGUAUGGAAAAAUCGACACUAUUGAAAUCAUUACUGACAGACAGUCUGGUAAAAAGAGAGGGUUUGGAUUUGUUACAUUUGAUGACCAUGAUCCUGUGGAUAAAAUUGUAUUGCAGAAGUACCACACCAUCAAUGGACAUAAUGCAGAAGUAAGGAAAGCUCUCUCUAGACAGGAAAUGCAGGAGGUUCAAAAUUCCAGGAGUGGCAGAGGAGGGAACUUUGGUUUUGGAGAUGCUCGUGGAGGUGGUGGCAACUUCGGUCCAGGACCUGGCAGCAAUUUCAGAGGGGGAGCCGGUAAGACAGAUGGAUAUGGAAGUGGCCGUGGAUUUGGUGAUGGAUAUAAUGGAUAUGGCGGAGGACCUGGAGGUGGCAACUUUGGUGGCAGUCCCGGUUAUGGAGGAGGAAGAGGAGGCUAUGGUGGAGGAGGACCUGGUUAUGGCAACCAGGGUGGGGGCUAUGGAGGUGGUUAUGACAACUAUGGAGGAGGCAAUUAUGGAAGUGGAAACUAUAAUGAUUUUGGCAACUACAACCAACAACCCUCAAAUUAUGGUCCGAUGAAGAGUGGAAAUUUUGGUGGCAGCAGGAACAUGGGGGGACCAUAUGGUGGAGGAAACUAUGGUCCCGGGGGCAGUGGAGGAAGUGGUGGAUAUGGAGGGAGGAGCCGUUAUUGAGUUUCUUCAAGCAUGCCAUGGGCUUCACUGUAUAAAUAGGAGAGGAUGAGAGCCCAGAGGUAACAGAACAGCUUCAGGUUAUCGAAAUAACAAUGUUAAGGAAACACUUACUCAGUCAUGCAUAAAUAUGCAGUGAUAUGGCAGAAGACACCAGAGCAGAUGCAGAGAGCCAUUUUGUGAAUGGAUUUGGAUUAUUUAAUAACAUUACCUUACUGUGGAGGAAGGAUUGUAAAAAUGCCUUUGAGACAGUUUCUUAGCUUUUUAAUUGUUGUUUCUUUCUAGUGGUCUUUGUAAGUGUAGAAGCAUUCCUUUGAUAAUGUUAAAUUUGUAAGUUUCAGGUGACAUGUGAAACCUUUUUUAAGAUUUUUCUCAAAGUUUUGAAAAGCUUUUAGCCAGGAUCAUGGUGUAAUAAGACAUAACGUUUUCCUUUUAAAAAUUUAAGUGCGUGUGUAGAGUUAAGAAGCUGUUGUACAUUUAUGAUUUUAAUAAAAUAAUUCUAAAGGAAAUAUUGUGUAAUUUUAGAUUUUUUUUUUUAAUACUGUAAAAUAAGGCAAGGAGUGGGUAGUAUAAGGUCCCACAAAUAAUACAAAGCUAUUGUUGUACGUGUAAAAUUUAAUGCUGGUGAGAAAAAGUAUGUUGUCUGUAAAUUACCAGGUUUAAAAUAUCUAGGUAACUUAAGGGGUAUCUCUGCAAGGAGAAACACCUUUUUAGAUUUUUUAGAUGCUGCUUCUUCAAUGGCAAGGAAAGGAAAAAACCCCAGCAAGGUACUCUUCCAGGGACGCAGGUCUAGUACAAGAGAACUCUUGAAAACGUCACUAAAAGUUCAGCCAGUCUUAAAAAGCUGUGCUGUAUGUCUGCAAAGCUUUAACUACGGUAGAUUGUUUAUAAGGAUGGCAACGAAGGCUGAGGGUGUAGAGCAAAAUAGUUCUAAGCUUCAGUUAAACUUCUUUAGCUAUGAUAUGAACCCUGGACAAGCAUAGACUGCUGCCACUGUACACUGCUACAGUUGAACAAAUGAGACCUGCAAGUGUCCAUUAGUAAAGCUUUGCAAGGGUUCCAUCCCUGGUGUUGGUAGUUAAAAUGGAAGGUGCCAUGCUGCAGGUAACUAAUGAAGAAGUGGUCAACCACAGAAACGCUUCAAGAAAUAAGAAAUUCUGUAUCAUCAGAAAAUAGUUGUUUUUGCUGCCUUCAUUAAAAAUCUAGAGGUUAAAUGAAUACUGAUAAAACAUCACAAUUAGUACAGCUCCCUGUAAUGAUGGGUUUUUUAAAUUAUAGUAAUAAUGUCUUGUAAACCUUUCGAAUAAAAUUCAGAUUCGUUAGGAGAAACAAAUCACUAAUGUUAAAAUAGCAAACAUUCUGUGAGUAGAAAGUUUAACUACAUAUAUUUAUAACUUUCAUAGCUUUAAAAUAAAGUAUUUUUAUACCAAA